UGGCUCAGAACGAACGCUGGCGGCAGGCUUAACACAUGCAAGUCGAACGAGAAGCUACCUUCGGGUAGUGGAAAGUGGCAGACGGGUGAGUAACGCGUGGGAAUCUACCUAGUGGUGGGGGAUAACUCAGGGAAACUUGAGCUAAUACCGUAUACGUCCUUAGGGAGAAAGAUUUAUCGCCCCUGGAUGGGCCCGCGUUGGAUUAGCUAGUUGGUGGGGUAAUGGCCUACCA
Molecule: ribosomal RNA, 232 nt
Filed under: Isochrysis galbana
Lineage: Eukaryota; Haptophyta; Isochrysidales; Isochrysidaceae
Description: partial Bacterial small subunit ribosomal RNA
Rfam family: Bacterial small subunit ribosomal RNA
Source: RNAcentral